CCAGCCCGCUCAGAAACUUAAAGGAAUUGACGGGGGCCCGCACAAGCGGUGGAGCAUGUGGUUUAAUUCGAUGAUACGCGAGGAACCUUACCUGGGCUCAAAUGUAUGUUGACGUAUUCUGAAAGGGAUACUUCUUCGGACAAUAUACAAGGUGCUGCAUGGUUGUCGUCAGCUCGUGCCGUGAGGUGUCGGGUUAAGUCCCAUAACGAGCGCAACCCCUAUCAUUAGUUGCCAUCAGGUCAAGCUGGGGACUCUAAUGAAACUGCCUACGCAAGUAGUGAGGAAGGUGGGGAUGACGUCAAAUCAGCACGGCCCUUACGUCCAGGGCUACACACGUGCUACAAUGGCCGGUACAAAGGGCAGCUACCUGGUGACAGGAUGCUAAUCUCAAAAGCCGGUCUCAGUUCGGAUCGGAGUCUGCAACCCGACUUCGUGAAGCUGGAAUCGCUAGUAAUCGCGCAUCAGCCAUGGCGCGGUGAAUACGUUCCCGGGCCUU
This 496-nucleotide ribosomal RNA is filed under the name uncultured Sphingobacteriales bacterium. RNAcentral describes it as "bacterial SSU rRNA". It matches the Rfam family "Bacterial small subunit ribosomal RNA", at positions 903 to 1382 of the family's 1533-position model. Lineage: Bacteria; Pseudomonadati; Bacteroidota; Sphingobacteriia; Sphingobacteriales. The record is from RNAcentral.